GACGAACGCUGGCGGCGUGCUUAACACAUGCAAGUCGAACGAUGAACCACUUCGGUGGGGAUUAGUGGCGAACGGGUGAAUAACACGUGGGCAAUCUGCCCUUCACUCUGGGACAAGCCCUGGAAACGGGGUCUAAUACCGGAUACAACACUCUCGGGCAUCCGAUGAGUGUGGAAAGCUCCGGCGGUGAAGGAUGAGCC
RNAcentral lists this ribosomal RNA (200 nucleotides) under uncultured bacterium. RNAcentral's name for it is "partial 16S ribosomal RNA". It matches the Rfam family "Bacterial small subunit ribosomal RNA", at positions 28 to 231 of the family's 1533-position model. The record is from RNAcentral.